Molecule: long non-coding RNA, 1145 nt
Organism: Myotis brandtii (Brandt's bat)
Lineage: Eukaryota; Metazoa; Chordata; Mammalia; Chiroptera; Vespertilionidae
Exons: 4
Source: RefSeq, a predicted model, not a curated record
GCCAGGGCUUCCUGGGCAAAAAUUUCUCUGGUCAGCUUCACACAAUUACGGAAAUCGUGAAUGUCGGCUUCUGUGGAGGAGAAGACACAGGCGGUGACGUGCAACCAAGCAGAGUCCCAUGAAGCCCAAACAGAGAGCAUGCGAGACGGACACAGCUUGCCUCAGAGGCCCCGGGUGUGAAUCGGGGAUCUGGAUUUGAUCUGCACGUUAGGAAUCAUACCUCACACCUUGCCUCUGCCACCGCGUGGCUGUGAGGGCCCCGCACGUUAUUACUGGGCAUGACCUGCCGGAUGGGGAGCGCCCAUUGUUGCUGUGUGCAGAGAGGCAGGCCGGGGAUAGAAUUCGCUUUUAAAGGAUGUUCAGUCACAGCAGGAAAAGUGCUCUGUGAGCUGUGUGUACACAGCCAGGCCGCCGCCUUGAACCUCCGGAGCUGGCAAGCCCUGGGCAGAGUUGGUGCCAUUGGUCCAUUGCUAGUGCUCAGUACCAAGAGCAUCGGCCCUAAGCUGAGACGUACUGAGCAGCUGCAGGGCGGGGCACAGGCUUGUGCACUCCCCACCCUGAAGGCCCUGCUGCAGGGGGGAAGAUGGAAAAGAUGAGACUGUCUGCUCACCUGGUGGGCUCACUGGCACCACAGCUUCCAAUGUCAGCUGCCUGUCUACCUGUCGAGAGUCUUCAGCUUUGCCUCUUCCCCCGACUCCACCACUGAGACUGGACUGUGAGGCCUCGUGUCCCACAGGUAACCCUAACCUGGCCUGUCCUCCUUGUGACCGAGCCCUCUCCCCUCUAACCUCCCACCACGUGUUGCAAUCUCUGGCCCAACUAAUGAGAUGCCUAGUCCAGGCGCCUUUGCACGUACUCUUCCUGCCUCUCAGAUCCCCUGGUCUUUCUCUCUCAGAAGUUAACAUUGAGCGUGGUUUCAUGAUUCUUUCCAUUGUCCCCAUCUGAGUGCUACUGCCGGAGGAUACCUGCCUCCUGGGACUUCUCACCCUCUGGCACUCAGUAAGUUUGUGAGGAACAGGUGCUGAGUGAAUGAAUAGGAUUUCAAAGCACCGUUUCCUGGCCAAACUCAAAGUUAUGGAAACUCAGCAUUUUCCAUUUGUGUUUGUUUUUUUCUGCUUUUAUUUUUCUUUAAAUCGUUAUUGUUG